RNAcentral lists this transfer RNA (72 nucleotides) under Nicotiana attenuata. RNAcentral's name for it is "tRNA tRNA-Glu". It matches the Rfam family "tRNA". From Rfam's summary of the family: Transfer RNA (tRNA) molecules are approximately 80 nucleotides in length. The record is from Rfam by way of RNAcentral. Lineage: Eukaryota; Viridiplantae; Streptophyta; Magnoliopsida; Solanales; Solanaceae.
ACCCCCAUAGUCUAGUGGUUAGGACACCUCUCUUUCAAGGAGGCAGCGGGGAUUCAAAUUCCCCUGGGGGUA